AAAAUUAAACAAGGUUGAAAGGCCUUGGCGUUACCUGUAAGUCUUACGAGUUGGGUGCGUCAGAAAAAGAAAAUAAAACAAGGUUGAAAGGCCUUGGCGUUACCUGUAAGUCUUACGAGUUGGGUACGUCAGAAAAAGAAAAAUUAAACAAGGUUGAAAGGCCUUGGCGUUACCUGUAAGUCUUACGAGUUGGGUACGUCAGAAAAAGAAAAUAAAACAAGGUUGAAAGGCCUUGGCGUUACCUGUAAGUCUUACGAGUUGGGUACGUCAGAAAAAGAAAAUUUAAACAAGGUUGCAAGGCCUUGGCGUUACCCGUAGGGAGCGUCAGAAAAAGGUACAACAAAGAAAGGCGAAAUUAUC
RNAcentral lists this long non-coding RNA (360 nucleotides) under Trifolium pratense (red clover). Its description in RNAcentral is "long non-coding RNA (TPRA_LNC005951)". The record is from RNAcentral. Lineage: Eukaryota; Viridiplantae; Streptophyta; Magnoliopsida; Fabales; Fabaceae.